This 1036-nucleotide ribosomal RNA is filed under the name Staphylinoidea sp. 2 KM-2017. RNAcentral describes it as "partial 16S ribosomal RNA". The stretch from base 784 to 942 matches the Rfam family "Archaeal large subunit ribosomal RNA", at positions 2542 to 2701 of the family's 2987-position model. The record is from RNAcentral. Lineage: Eukaryota; Metazoa; Arthropoda; Insecta; Coleoptera.
UUAGUGAUGAAACGUCAUUCGGUUUUAAAUAUAUCUAGUUUUUAAAGAAAUAAAUUUAAUUUAUAAUUAUUAAUUUUAAUUUAUUAAAUUUUAAAUAAAUUAAAUUAUUAAUUUAAUAUUUUUAGGGAUUAGCUUAAAAGUAAAAUUUUAAAAAUUUAUAUAAAUAUAAAAUAUUUAUAGGAAUAGAAAUUUUUAUUUUAUAAUUUGUUAUAAUUAAUAUUUUUUGAAAAAAGAUUUAUAUUAAAAUUUUAAUUUUUUUAUUUAAAUAAUUUAUAAAAUAUAUAAAUAAAUUUAAUAAUGAUAAUAUUAGUAUAAUAAGGUGUAAAUUAUAAUAUUUAUUUAAGGUUAAUUUAAGGAAUUCGGCAAAUAUUAUUUUCGCCUGUUUAUUAAAAACAUGUCUUUUAGAUUAUAAUUUAAAGUCUAACCUGCCCACUGAAUUUUAAAUGGCCGCAGUAUUUUGACUGUGCAAAGGUAGCAUAAUAAUUAGUUUUUUAAUUGAAAGCUGGUAUGAAUGGUUGAACGAGAAAUAGUCUGUCUCAAAUUAAAUUAAUUAGAAUUUUAUAUUUAAGUUAAAAAGCUUAAAUGUUAUUUAAAGACGAGAAGACCCUAUAGAGUUUUAUAAAUUAUUUAAAUUUUAAUUUUUUAGGAUGUUUUAAUUAAAAUAUAAAAAUUUAUUUUAUUGGGGUGAUAGAAAAAUUUAAUAAACUUUUUUUUAGAAAAAAACAUAAAUUUAUGAAUUUUUGAUCCAUUUUUUUUUUGAUUAUAAGAUUAAAUUACCUUAGGGAUAACAGCGUAAUUUCAUUAGAGAGUUCAUAUCGAAAAUGAAGGUUGCGACCUCGAUGUUGGAUUAAAAUAAAUUUUUGGUGUAGUAGCUAAAAUAUUAAGUCUGUUCGACUUUUAAAAUUUUACAUGAUCUGAGUUUAAACCGGUGUAAGCCAGGUUGGUUUCUAUCUUAAAUUAAUUAAGAAUAAUUUAGUACGAAAGGACCAAUUAUUUAUAAAAUUUAUUAUACAUAUAGAUAUAUAUGAAUAAAAUU